GUGCUCACUUUGGCAGCACAUAUACUGAACAUUGGAACAAUACAGAGAAGAUUAGCAUGGCCCCUACUCAGGGAUGACAUGCAAAUUCGUGAAGCAUUCCUUAUUUAC
Otolemur garnettii (small-eared galago) is the source of this 108-nucleotide small nuclear RNA. Lineage: Eukaryota; Metazoa; Chordata; Mammalia; Primates; Galagidae. The record is from Ensembl.